Scaptodrosophila lebanonensis is the source of this 1586-nucleotide RNA transcript. It is a transcript of the gene named tropomyosin-2, with no coding region annotated. NCBI's taxonomy places the organism in Eukaryota, Metazoa, Arthropoda, Insecta, Diptera, Drosophilidae. The transcript is spliced from 5 exons. The record is from RefSeq and is a predicted model, not a curated record.
UGUUCGUGUGUGCGCCGUGCGUUAUUUUUUGGGGUCGCUUUCUGGGCAAAUCGACUUCUUAUAGAUCAGUGUUCUCGGGGUUUCGACAGCGUGUAGUGUGUUUGAAACGCUAAGUGAUUUCUUCAAUUUUUCUCCCUCGAUAAGGUAAAACAAAAACACAAACACCAUGGACGCCAUCAAGAAGAAGAUGCAAGCGAUGAAGCUUGAGAAAGAUAAUGCCAUUGAUAAGGCAGAUACUUGCGAGAAUCAAGCUAAGGAUGCCAACUCCCGCGCUGACAAACUGAAUGAGGAAGUGCGCGAUUUGGAGAAGAAAUUUGUGCAGGUUGAGGUCGAUUUGGUCUCAUCCAAGGAGGCUCUAGAGAAAGCCAACCAGGAAUUGGAAGAGAAGGAGAAAUUGUUGACCUCAACGGAGUCUGAGGUUGCCACCUUGAACCGUAAGGUCCAACAGAUUGAAGAAGAUUUGGAGAAAUCUGAGGAGCGCUCAACUACCGCACAACAAAAAUUGUUGGAGGCCACACAAUCGGCCGAUGAGAACAAUCGUAUGUGCAAAGUAUUGGAGAACCGUUCGCAGCAGGAUGAGGAACGUAUGGAUCAAUUGACCAACCAAUUGAAGGAAGCCCGUAUGUUGGCUGAGGACGCCGAUACCAAAUCCGAUGAAGUUUCUCGCAAGCUGGCCUUCGUUGAAGAUGAGUUGGAAGUCGCUGAGGAUCGUGUGCGUUCCGGUGAAUCCAAGAUCAUGGAGCUGGAGGAAGAAUUGAAGGUUGUCGGUAACUCCUUGAAAUCUUUGGAAGUCUCUGAGGAGAAGGCUAACCAGCGUGUUGAGGAAUUCAAGCGUGAAAUGAAGACUUUGUCCGUCAAAUUGAAGGAAGCCGAACAGCGCGCUGAACACGCUGAGAAGCAAGUGAAGCGCCUGCAGAAGGAAGUCGACAGGCUAGAAGACCGUCUCUUCCAUGAGAAAGAAAAAUACAAAGCAAUCUGCGACGAUUUGGACUCGACAUUUGCCGAACUCACAGGAUAUUAAAAAAAGCAAAAGACAAAAACAAAACAUAAAAAGACACACAAAUGUCCCAUCUUCCCACCCCAUCAAAAAAAAAAGACAGAAACAUUAAAAGUUUUCCAUUUCACACAGUGUAUCUUGCACAAUUUAUUGCCAAAAUUACUUUCACAAUUUACACUGUAAAUAAUUUGUCUAGUCUAGAUUAUUGUGGCACACGAUUUUUGACCACAUCGACUCAAGCUUACACUGUUAAACAAAUAUGCCCAAAUAUGAAAAUCCAACUGUAUUUAUUUUUGCUUCAAACCAGACGAAUUGGGCGUCAACAAGGACAGAUACAAGUCUCUGGCCGACGAGAUGGACUCCACAUUCGCCGAAUUGGCUGGUUAUUAAUCGGGGCGCUCGGCAGAGGCAGAGUGGCAACAACAACUAUCAAUAUCAGAACAGGAGGAACUCAAUUAAAUGUUACGAAUAUAUCAAAAUCUUUUUUGAACCAAGUACCAAAACAAGAACUAUUGUGUAUAUCUUUAUAACAAAUAUUUCUAAAUAAAUAAAUAAUAAUUACAUAAAGAGCUGCAAUUCAAGAACAAAA